CCAACGGGGGACAGCAGUAGGGAAUUUUCGUCAAUGGGCGCAAGCCUGAACGAGCAAUGCCGCGUGAACGAGGAAGGUCUUCGGAUCGUAAAGUUCUGUUGAAGGGGAAAAAGAGCGGAGAGAGGAAAUGCUUUCUGAUUGAUAUUACCCUUCGAGGAAGUCACGGCUAACUACGUGCCAGCAGCCGCGGUAAUACGUAGGUGGCGAGCGUUAUCCGGAAUGAUUGGGCGUAAAGGGUGCGUAGGCGGCCUGCUAAGUCUGGAGUGAAAGGUACCGGCUCAACCGGUACAGGCUCUGGAAACUGGCGGGCUAGGGAGCAGGUGAGGGCAGUGGAACUGUAUGUGUAGCGGUAAAAUGCGUAGGUGUAUGGAAGAACACCAGUGGCGGAGGCGGCCGCCUGGCGUGUUAACUGACGCUGAGGCACGAAAGCGUGGGGAGCAAAUAGGAUUAGAUACCCUUGUAGUC
This 465-nucleotide ribosomal RNA is filed under the name uncultured bacterium. RNAcentral describes it as "partial 16S ribosomal RNA". It matches the Rfam family "Bacterial small subunit ribosomal RNA", at positions 338 to 795 of the family's 1533-position model. The record is from RNAcentral.